UAAGGAAUAUUGGUCAAUGGGCGGGAGCCUGAACCAGCCAUGCCGCGUGCAGGAAGACGGCCUUAUGGGUUGUAAACUGCUUUUAUCGGGGAAUAAACCUGCUUACGUGUAGGCAGCUGAAGGUACCCGAAGAAUAAGCAUCGGCUAACUCCGUGCCAGCAGCCGCGGUAAUACGGAGGAUGCAAGCGUUAUCCGGAUUCAUUGGGUUUAAAGGGUGCGCAGGCGGAAUGAUAAGUCAGUGGUGAAAUUCAACGGCUCAACUGUUGACCUGCCAUUGAUACUGUCAAUCUAGAGUAUAGUUGGAGUGGGCGGAAUGUGUCAUGUAGCGGUGAAAUGCUUAGAUAUGACACAGAACACCGAUCGCGAAGGCAGCUCACUAAGCUAAAACUGACGCUCAUGCACGAAAGCGUGGGGAGCGAACA
This 422-nucleotide ribosomal RNA is filed under the name uncultured prokaryote. Its description in RNAcentral is "bacterial SSU rRNA". It matches the Rfam family "Bacterial small subunit ribosomal RNA", at positions 355 to 774 of the family's 1533-position model. The record is from RNAcentral.